RNAcentral lists this long non-coding RNA (307 nucleotides) under Mus spicilegus (steppe mouse). RNAcentral's name for it is "lncRNA (ENSMSIG00000001596.1)". The record is from RNAcentral. Lineage: Eukaryota; Metazoa; Chordata; Mammalia; Rodentia; Muridae.
ACAAGAGGAAAAUGGAAAAACAUUUUAGCAAGUUAAGGGGGAAGAAAUCAACAGUAUCAUUGUUUGCCGCUUUUGUUGAAACUCCCCACACAAGUCAUUUGAGGGACAUGAAGACAAGAGGACUGUGCAUUCGGGGGACACCUGUUUCGAUUUCACAUGCCUCGUGCCAGUAAGCCUGUUUGGAAGGUCUUCAGUGGAUCUCAGGGGCUCCUCUGCUGAUUAUCAACAGUUGCCUCAUUCAGCUGUUUGGUUUUUAUACAAUGGUGAAUUGAAGCUUGAUUUCAUUCAACCUCCAAGUCACUUUUUA